Long non-coding RNA from Triticum dicoccoides, 756 nucleotides. RefSeq lists it as uncharacterized. The transcript has 3 exons. NCBI's taxonomy places the organism in Eukaryota, Viridiplantae, Streptophyta, Magnoliopsida, Poales, Poaceae. The record is from RefSeq and is a predicted model, not a curated record.
AAAAAUGUAUCUCUUAUUCUUAUUAUUAGCUAACAUCCUUAUGUUAUGGGACGAGGGAGUAGUUUAUAAGGUUCUGUUUAUAAACUUUCUGUACUCAGUUUAUAAUGUUUCUCUUAUUCUAUUAUUAGCUAACAUCUUUAUAAAUCAGAGAUUCUGUGUAUCAUCACAGUUAUAAGCACAUACCAAAUUUAGCUACAUCUUAGACUUAUCUUCAUACAAAUUAUAUCCUUUUGACUUCAGUUACUUAUGUAUUGUCGAAAUCUGGUCAUUUGUAUUCUUCUCAGAAACUGCAUAAUGGCACCUUGCCGUUCUUUUCAGUUCGUCUCCUUAUGAUCCCCGCUUCAAUCUUUCUACUUGAUCUACAUUUUUUCCCAUCAGUUUAAUUUCUUGAUUUUGAUUCAGAUAUUCAAUAGUUGCUGGUGCGGGCAAUGGACAUUCAUACAUUCCUAUAUUUUUCUGUAAUCUGUUCUGUAUUUCAUUUAAUUUGUAUCUUACUUUUUCCUGUAUAUAUAUGAUGCCUAGGAGAAGUGCACUGUACGAUGCAUAUCGGAGAAAAAGGCCCACUACAAGUUCUCCUGCUACUAAAAGAAGUUAGAGCUGCAAAUUCAAUGUUCAGGGAAGCCAAGAUCGGUUGAUAUGAAACUGUAUCUCCUGUUCAAGAUACUGUCAUGGCAACGGUGGAAAGAUGCAGAGGACACAUCCUGAAUUGGUGUUCUUUGCAAUGCCCUGGUGACCGGCGCCAGCAACACGCUACGG